Cornus florida is the source of this 1766-nucleotide long non-coding RNA. RefSeq lists it as uncharacterized. Lineage: Eukaryota; Viridiplantae; Streptophyta; Magnoliopsida; Cornales; Cornaceae. The transcript has 6 exons. The record is from RefSeq and is a predicted model, not a curated record.
UUCAUAAAAACAAACGCUGCGGUUUGGUUUAACUGAGCAGGGCACAAGAGGAGGCCUGCAGCACACGAUCCCAGCCCCAAUAUCUGAGCAGCCAAACAUCCCUAAAAUUAUUUUGCCCGCGCAAAACCAUUCACCUUGGUUCUGAGAGAGAGCAAACUGCAGAGCUCUGCGAUCAUGGCGAAAAUUAGGGAAGUCUUCUGUAAUCUCUGUACUAAGGCGUUUUACAACACUAAAGGUUUGCUAUCUCAUCAAGCGGAAAAUGGAGCUUAUUUGUGAGUUCUGCAAAUUACGGUUCGCUAGUGACGUGACCCAGAUCUAAUCGACCACUUGAAACGUGCUCACAAUCACGGUCGAACAAGAUAAUUUUCUUUUAUUUUCUUUAAUUUUCUUUCUGUUUCUAGGUCUUUCUUUUCCUUUUUUCUCGCUCUAGGUCUUGAUUUUUCUCUUCUUUAGUUUUUAUAUUGGACCGAUUACUCUCGUCCACAAUGAAAUUGUUGCCGAAUUUUGCGUCUUGAUUUUGGAGACACUUCUAUAGUUUCAGAGGCCUAUGCCAAAAUGCUUACAAUAAUUAUCCUUGGAGAAAAGAGUUCUCUUUUAGCUCAUUUCAUGUGCUUUGAAGUACCUGCACUUGUCCCACAAGGAGGUCGUGCCAAUGGUGACAAUGAUGCCAAUGAUGAUGAUUUGGGCAUCAUGGACAUGGAUGAGAAUGAUAGGGGUAAAAAUUCUGCAGAGGUUGAUUGACUUCAUGAUUUGCUUGACGGGAUACAGGUUGCUGGAGUUUGGUGCACUUGACCAUCUGAAGAAACUGUCUUCAGACUCUCUGGCAUCACCAUCCACUUGAUGACAACUUUGUAAUGUAGAUAGGUUCAACCAGUAUCAACCUAUAGUUGAGCCAGCACAAGCAGGGUCACAUUGGUUUAGAACCAAUUAGCUUGGAAGACUUCUAUGUUGUGGUGGACUGGGCAUACAAGAUUGAUCCUUUGCGCUACAUAUCGAUGCAUGGGAUUACAGAACGCUAUAUUUCUGGUCAGAAAGCUCAUGCAGCAGGAUUUGUCCUUAACUUGCUUCAUAACCUAGAAUUUUGUUGAUGAAGCUUGUCACCAGAUUGAAAGAAAUGAGGGAAAUGUUCGGCAAAUGGGUGUCUUAUCAUAUAUACCAAGCUGAACUGGUUUAUGCUUCUGUUAAGUGAUUUAUGCUUUUGCAUUCUACUCCCAUUCUACUAAUUCUAGGCAAUUGUCAGGAAUUCUACUUUUUGGUCAGAUGGAAUGAAUUAGGAGCAGACAUAUAUGGGAUGUACAACGGGGAACUAUUAGUUUUCAGAUUGAUCAAAAUUUUCUAAACAUUAUUUGAGACCGCUAAAAAUCAAAGAUAACUCUUGAACUGGUAUGUUUCUCAAAUAUAGUAAGUUGUACUUGGAGAUGUUAAGGUUGAGAAUGACGUGCUCUAAAAUAUCUAAAAAUCUUGUAAUGGGACAUUCUUAACUAACUUCAAUUAGAGAACAUUUUGACCUGGCCCCGUUUUUUGCAUGACAGAUAUGCUUACUCUUUCUAUUUUAAGUUGUUCAUUGUUAUCAGCAUGAUUGAGAACCUUUGUUAGUUCCAGUUAAAUAUGCCAAUACCAAGUGUUGGUCUUGUCAAUAUGAGGUGCACUUAGUAUUAUUCCAUCAAAGUGGUUUUUCUCACACUUAAACCUGCAUAUCAUGCUUAUCAUCUGUUCAAAUUCAUGAGAGAUAGAGGGAGAGAGAGUAAUGUAUAUUCUGUGUAUUC